GAUGAAGAACGUAGCGAAAUGCGAUACGUAAUGUGAAUUGCAGAAUUCAGUGAAUCAUCGAGUCUUUGAACGCACAUUGCGCCCCCUGGUAUUCCGGGGGGCAUGCCUGUCCGAGCGUCAUUGCUGCCCUCAAGCACGGCUUGUGUGUUGGGCCUCCGUCCUCCUCCCGGGGGACGGGCCCGAAAGGCAGCGGCGGCACCGCGUCCGGUCCUCGAGCGUAUGGGGCUUCGUCACCCGCUCUUGAAGGCCCGGCCGGCGCUUGCCGACACAUCAAUCUUUUUUCCAGGUUGACCUCGGAUCAGGUAGGGAUACCCGCUGAACUUAAGCAUAUCAAUAAGCGGAGGA
RNAcentral lists this unclassified non-coding RNA (345 nucleotides) under soil metagenome. RNAcentral describes it as "partial contains 5.8S ribosomal RNA, internal transcribed spacer 2, and large subunit ribosomal RNA". The stretch from base 1 to 120 matches the Rfam family "5.8S ribosomal RNA", at positions 35 to 154 of the family's 154-position model. The record is from RNAcentral.